Long non-coding RNA from Ostrea edulis (European flat oyster), 3055 nucleotides. RefSeq lists it as uncharacterized. The transcript is spliced from 2 exons. The record is from RefSeq and is a predicted model, not a curated record. Lineage: Eukaryota; Metazoa; Mollusca; Bivalvia; Ostreida; Ostreidae.
UAUUGUUUUAUUAUUAUGAUAGAUCUAUAAACACGUAUAUUGUUUUAUUAUUUGUAUUGAAUGUUAUACCUAAGAUUAUGAUAGAUCUAUUACACGUAUAUUGUUUUAUUAUUUGUAUUGAAUGUUAUACCUAAGAUUAUGAUAGAUCUAUUACACGUAUAUUGUUUUAUUAUUUGUAUUGAAUGUUAUACCUAAGAUUAUGAUAGAUCUAUUACACGUAUAUUGUUUUAUGAUUUAUGUCAAUCUACAGAUAUUAAUAUUCACCAAUUUUUAUUUUUAUUUUUAAUAAACCUUAAUUUGCUGUUUCAAUGUUUUCAUUUCUCAAUGAUCCUUCAACUUGACAUAAAAGCCAAUACAUGUGCUUAUAUUUUAAUACAAAACUAAAAACAAAAACAAAAACCAAAGGGGGGGGUGUUCUCAUGUAAUAUGAAUACAUGAUGGAAUUUGUCUAUUAUGCAAAUGAUGCCCCAUGCCUUCAUUGUUUUAAUAUCCCCCACAACAUAUUUCUCAAUGACCUUUCAAAUGACAUAAAAGCCAUAAUACAAAAAAGGUUUUAUUACAUAAUAUGAAUAUUGCUGAUUAUGUACAAAUAAUAUCCCAUGCACAUGCUUCCACUGUAUUAAUACCCUCUAGAAUACAAUCAAACUAGACAAAUAUUCCUUCAGUUAAUCAUCUGACUGAGUCAUGCAUGCAUGAAGUCAAUUGCAAUUGUGUAUACUUCUCCAAAGCAUCUUUUAUAUAAAAUCCAAAUACAUUGUACCAUUAACUAUCAACUUCAGACUCAUUAAAAUGCUUCCAUUUUGAUGAGUGGGAUGAGAUAUGCUUGACAUCCUCCAGCUGAGAGAGAAUUUUCACUGUGGAGGUAAUAAUCAGACCUGGAGUACUGCAUGGUGGGAAUGGCAGAUGAGAAAGACUGUCACUCUCUUCACAAUAAAGGGUGAGAUUCAGAUGUGUAUUGUUUCUCAACAAUUUGCCUUCUCAAGUGUGUUUCAGCCUUCAACGUUUGGUACAGUAUUAGCGAUAUUAGAAGCUCCAUCAAGAUCAACAUAACCCUCACUGAUCAUUCACGGCAGCUAAUUAUUCUUGCCCAGUGGAUAUAUCAAUUAAUGAGAUCUUUUUUGCCAUGAUCAUUCAACAGAGUUUCAGCAUCAAUAUUGAAUCAGCCCAUGCAUUAAAUAUAAUAACAAGAGGUCCAUGGGCCACAUCACUCACCUGAGUCACAUUGGCCCAGCUUUUGUUCAGCUGUUGUGAUUUUUAAAAGAUUUUUUUUUCAAUCUUUAAUCCCAUGAAAAAAUUUAAAUGGUCGAUCUUGACUUAACUGAUUCAGAACAUAUAUUCACGCAACAAGGUGAUGCCUCAACACUAAUGACUAACAUGACCUUGCUGUUCUGGGAGAAGGUCAAGGUCACAUAGAUCAGUGGUAUAAAAUGAAAGGUUUUGCCAUAAGAAAUCUAUAUACAAAAUAUAAAAGCUCUAUUUUAGAUAGUUCAAGAGUCUAUUGAAUAGGUCAGAUUUCUAUAAUCAUUAAAUCAGUGUGUCCAUUUUUACUGAAAAACAGGGGACUGCAAGAUAACACAAGACUUGGGAAAGUUGUUAAUCUCUGUGAAUAUAUGUCUUUAUCCUGAUGGGGUUUUAUUAAGGUUGGUCAUCUCAUUCUUAAACCAGAUCACUGUGACCUAAGUUUUCGGGUCAUGACAUUCCUUUCUACAAAGACACAUCAACUAAAAAGAUUAGAUGAAUCAAACCAGACAGGCUUUUACUAUACAAAUCAUUCUUAAUGGAGAGCACUGCACCUAGUUUUAGUUUGCGACAUACCUUCCCCUACUCUGCAUAUCAGCUGACAAGGUUUCAUAAUUCUAUAAACACCCUUAGUGUACAAAUGAUGAGUGAUGAUUGUUUACAUACUUGGUCAAAAUAACUCUUAAAUAAGGUCAAUGUGACCUACCUAACAAACAGUACAGACAGCGUUACAGACACCUAGACCAGUGACACAGAGGAGCUCACAAAUACAGACAGCGGUACAGACAUCUAGACCAGUGACACAGAAGAUCUUAUAAAUAAAGACAGCAGUACAGACACCUACACCAGUGACACAGAAGAGCUCACAAAUACAGACAGCGGUACAGACACCUAGACCAGUGACACAGUGGUACAGACACCUACACCAGUGACACAGUGGUACAGACACCUAGACCAGUGACACAGCGGUACAGACACCUAGACCAGUGACACAGAUGAUCUUAUAAAUACAGACAGCAGUACAGACACCUAGACCAGUGACACAGAUGAUCUUCAUACACGCCAACUUUCCCGAUUUAGGCGGGAUCUUCCCGAUUUUACCCUCCGGUCCCGCUUUGCCGAUCGGGAAAGCAAAAUUACCCUAAAAUCCCGAUUUGAAAUUUUUUCCGACCAAAAUUUCCGAUUUCACGAUUGAAAACGAGUUUGAAAGCGGGAUAAUCGUGAAAUCUUGUGACCAGAAUUGGAAAUCCCGCGUCAUUUCUGAACUGGCCAAUCAGAAAUCGGGACAAUAGUCAGCCAUUGCUGUUUACCUGUGUCGCAUGGUGUCGGGUUGGUCUGCCUGUGUCGGGGUGUUUAUUGGACAGUACGAAGCAUGUUUUGAUAGUAAUUAAUCGGGAAGACGGAUUUCAAAUUGACCUAUCCUUUACACAAACGUGAAUGACAACGAUGCUAGUGUCACCACCAAACAAUCGGACAUUCCGCCUCUCGCUGACAGCAUCCAAAAUUUGCAAUAAGAUGUCAUGGGUGCAAAGGUUUUGUUCGCAAACUUCAUAGCAGGGCAGAUCACUCCUUUUUUGGUUGCAAUGCAGAUUAUUCCACCAGUCUCUGCAAGCCCAUGUUUACAGACAAGCAAGAUCGCCUUUGCAGUCGUACCUAAAUGCAUGUGCUUUAAUUUAAAUUUUGAUAUAUAGACCGGCCAAUGUUUAUUGUAUGGUGUAAAAGGAUGCAACCUUAAAUAUUAUUUGAUAUUAUGUAUGUGACUUGUUGGAGAAGAUUUUUUGCUGAAUAGAUGAUUUUAAUAAAAUAUUAAUGUAUA